CUCUCCGUAGCUCAGCUGGACAGAGCCCCCGGUCGCGAGCCGGGAGGUCGGAGGUUCGAGCCCUCCCGGGGAGA
RNAcentral lists this transfer RNA (74 nucleotides) under Aeromicrobium erythreum. Its description in RNAcentral is "tRNA-Arg". It matches the Rfam family "tRNA". From Rfam's summary of the family: Transfer RNA (tRNA) molecules are approximately 80 nucleotides in length. Their secondary structure includes four short double-helical elements and three loops (D, anti-codon, and T loops). RNAcentral also lists the same sequence under 2 other names. Lineage: Bacteria; Bacillati; Actinomycetota; Actinomycetes; Propionibacteriales; Nocardioidaceae. The record is from RNAcentral.